Molecule: transfer RNA, 70 nt
Filed under: Lingula anatina
Lineage: Eukaryota; Metazoa; Brachiopoda; Lingulata; Lingulida; Lingulidae
Rfam family: tRNA
About the family: Transfer RNA (tRNA) molecules are approximately 80 nucleotides in length.
Source: Rfam by way of RNAcentral
GGGGAUGUAGCUCAGUGGUAGAGCGCUCGCUUUGCAUGUGUGACCCUGGGUUCAAUCUCCGGCAUCUCCA